This 648-nucleotide ribosomal RNA is filed under the name uncultured Methanosarcinaceae archaeon. RNAcentral describes it as "bacterial SSU rRNA". It matches the Rfam family "Archaeal small subunit ribosomal RNA", at positions 356 to 1004 of the family's 1478-position model. The record is from RNAcentral. Lineage: Archaea; Methanobacteriati; Methanobacteriota; Methanomicrobia; Methanosarcinales; Methanosarcinaceae.
UGCGGGAAACCGUGAUAAGGGGACACCGAGUGCCAGCAUCAUAUGCUGGCUGUCCGGGUGUGUAAAAUACACCUGUUAGCAAGGGCCGGGCAAGACCGGUGCCAGCCGCCGCGGUAACACCGGCGGCCCGAGUGGUGAUCGUGAUUAUUGGGUCUAAAGGGUCCGUAGCCGGUUUGGUCAGUCCUCCGGGAAAUCUGACAGCUCAACUGUUAGGCUUUCGGCGGAUACUGCCAGACUUGGAACCGGGAGAGGUAAGAGGUACUACAGGGGUAGGAGUGAAAUCUUGUAAUCCCUGUGGGACCACCUGUGGCGAAGGCGUCUUACCAGAACGGGUUCGACGGUGAGGGACGAAAGCUGGGGGCACGAACCGGAUUAGAUACCCGGGUAGUCCCAGCCGUAAACGAUGCUCGCUAGGUGUCAGGCAUGGCGCGACCGUGUCUGGUGCCGCAGGGAAGCCGUGAAGCGAGCCACCUGGGAAGUACGGCCGCAAGGCUGAAACUUAAAGGAAUUGGCGGGGGAGCACAACAACGGGUGGAGCCUGCGGUUUAAUUGGACUCAACGCCGGACAACUCACCGGGGGCGACAGCAAUAUGUAGGCCAGGCUGAAGACCUUGCCUGAAUCGCUGAGAGGAGGUGCAUGGCCGUCGC